AGAGUUUGAUCCUGGCUCAGAAUCAACGCUGGCGGCGUGCCUCAGACAUGCAAGUCGAACGAUUAAACUCUUCUUCGGAAGAGAUAUAGAGUGGCGCACGGGUGAGUAACACGUGGGUAAUUUACCUCUGGGUGGGGAAUAACCAUCGGAAACGAUGGCUAAUACCGCAUAAUGCAGCGGCACCGCAAGGUGACAGUUGUUAAAGCUUUAGUGCCUGGAGAGAAGCCCGCGGCAGAUUAGCUAGUUGGUAAGGUAAUGGCUUACCAAGGCUACGAUCUGUAUCCGGUCUUAGAGGACGGUCGGACACACUGACACUGAAUAACGGGUCAGACUCCUACGGGAGGCAGCAGUCGGGAAUUUUGGGCAAUGGGCGAAAGCCUGACCCAGCAACGCCGCGUGAAGGAUGAAGUAUCUCGGUAUGUAAACUUCGGAAGAAUGGAAAGAAUAAAUGACGGUACCAUUUUUAAGCCCCGGCUACUCCGUGCCAGCAGCCGCGGUAAUACGGGGGGGGCAAGCGUUGUUCGGAUUUACUGGGCGUAAAGGGCGCGUAGGCGGCGUGACAAGUCACUUGUGAAAUCUCCGGGCUUAACUCGGAAUGGUCAAGUGAUACUGUCGUGCUAGAGUGCAGAAGGGGCAAUCGGAAUUCUUGGUGUAGCGGUGAAAUGCGUAGAUAUCAAGAGGAACACCAGAGGCGAAGGCGGAUUGCUGGGCUGACACUGNNNNUGAGGCGCGAAAGCUAGGGUAGCAAACGGGAUUAGAUACCCUAGUAGUCC
RNAcentral lists this ribosomal RNA (773 nucleotides) under uncultured bacterium. RNAcentral describes it as "bacterial SSU rRNA". It matches the Rfam family "Bacterial small subunit ribosomal RNA", at positions 8 to 796 of the family's 1533-position model. The record is from RNAcentral.